CUACGGGAGGCUGCAGUGAGGAAUAUUGCACAAUGGGGGGAACCCUGAUGCAGCAACGCCGCGUGGAGGAUGACGCAUUUCGGUGUGUAAACUCCUUUUAUAUGUCAAGAAAAUGACGGUAGCAUAUGAAUAAGCACCGGCUAACUCCGUGCCAGCAGCCGCGGUAAUACGGAGGGUGCAAGCGUUACUCGGAAUCACUGGGCGUAAAGGACGCGUAGGCGGGUUGGAAAGUCAGGUGUGAAAUCCCACAGCUUAACUGUAGAACUGCACUUGAAACUUCUAAUCUAGAGUAUGGGAGGGGGAGAUGGAAUUAGCGGUGUAGGGGUAAAAUCCGUAGAUAUCACUAGGAAUACCUAAAGCGAAGGCGAUCUCCUGGAACAUUACUGACGCUAAGGCGUGAAAGCGUGGGGAGCAAACAGGAUUAGAUACCCUUGUAGUC
Molecule: ribosomal RNA, 439 nt
Filed under: uncultured bacterium
Lineage: Bacteria
Description: partial 16S ribosomal RNA
Rfam family: Bacterial small subunit ribosomal RNA
Source: RNAcentral